RNAcentral lists this ribosomal RNA (256 nucleotides) under uncultured bacterium. RNAcentral's name for it is "partial 16S ribosomal RNA". It matches the Rfam family "Bacterial small subunit ribosomal RNA", at positions 521 to 776 of the family's 1533-position model. The record is from RNAcentral.
UAAGACAGAAGGUGCAAGCGUUACUCGGAAUUACUGGGCGUAAAGCGUCUGUAGGUGUCCUUCCACGUCUGGGUUAAAAUCGCAGGGCUCAACCCCGCGUCCGAUCUGGAAACGAGAAGGAUGGAGUCAUUCAGAGGCAUCUGGAAUGUCGUGUGUAGGGGUAAAAUCCGUAGAUACACGAUGGAACGCCAAAAGCGAAGGCAGGAUGCUAGGAAUGUACUGACACUCAGAGACGAAAGCGUGGGGAGCAAAGGGG